UCUCAGCAGGGCAAAGAGCAAAAGAGGAGCUCCGCGCAGAGAACAGCCCCUCCAACAUUCCCUGGAGCAGAAGUAGGGGUGAGGAGGGCAGAAGCGCCCCCGAGAGAGAAUUUCAAAGGCUUCCUGGCUGAGAUGCAGCAAGUUAUCCUGCAGGCAGAAGACCACGGGAGCUCCGAUGGCUUCCGCCAGGUCCGCUGACUUCCAGCAAGGGGUCUGUGACCUUGCAUCAUUUGGACAUGCCAUGCCCGCUUUCUACCUGACAGCCAGCAACGACACUUCCCUGAGAUUUUUACUCCUGAGCUAAGACUAGGGCAAAGAUCUCACAGAUGUGACCAGAGAACCAUUUAUAUCUCCGGCAUUCUCUCCAGAGGGUAACCAAUCUUCCUGAUCUUACUGGAGUCCUUAAAACCCCAGCUGCUCUGAGGAGACCGGGCCAAACAAGGAAGAAGAAUUGGAAGAUGCUGGAAAGCAAAGACCACGUCUGCCAAACGGUGUAGCCGGAGCUGCAAUGUGUGAAGCAUGUCAUGUGAAGCAUGUCAGAAACCAGCGCUCAGCUCUGACUCGGGUGGGCACUUGCAGACCAAGUCUGGAUCCCAGAACUUGGAUUUACUUACUACGUCUUCCUCCCCAGACUGAAGUAUGAGGAAGAUUGCCAAAGAAGAGCCUCCCCUGGGAAAACAUCCAGGCAGUGCAUUCCGGCAAACCCCAUGGACUCUCCAUUUCACAGCCAGGAAAAUAACGGAGUCUCCAAAUGAGGCAAAUUUCACACAAUGGACAUGGGGACAGAUAGAAGAGGGUCUCUGUUUCCUUUAAAAACCAAAGAACAGAGACACCUGAAAGAGACUCAUUCAUCAAAGACAAAGUCCUGUUCCCCCUGGGACUCCCACCUUCCUCUCCUGCUUUCAGGAUCGACUCUAUUUCCCUGCUCUGAAGUCUCAACUUGCCACCAGGCAAGGAGCAGUAAAUGCUGCAAAACAUUGAACAUGAAAUAGAGUCUUUUCAAUGCUGCUGUAUUUAGGACAGAGACAAAUCAGCAUUAAAAAAUGUUGUUCUUAAUUCGUGUUUUUGUAUAAAGCAUGGAUACAGGUAGAUAAUUAGACCCAAUAGUCCCUAUACUGGGACAAAAUCUGUACAUUUUCCGUGGGUAGCAAAGGGAUGGACUGGCAUAAUAUAUUCAAUUAUUGCUAUUAAAUAUAGCUUGUUUCUGGAAAAAUAAUCCCUUAAAACUUUUUGAAUAUUAGUAAAUCAUCCUCCAAAAUGGUGGUGCAGGGAGCUUAGAUGUUUACUGUUUUAGGAGUGUAGGUUAUUUUAUUUUCUAUAAAUUGUUCAACAUCACAAGCGCCCUGAGUGGGCUGCCAUGAAAGCAAGAUGGCGACCAAAACUAGAAGAGAAAUUUAUCCUGUGAGAAGCACCCUUUCCCUUGGAAGGGUUUUGGCAUCCUGGGAUGCCUGAAGGCUGUACGUUCUCAGCACAGGACAGGUUAUGUACUCAGUAAAAUCUGACUUGCUGCUUGAUUACCACCGUCUUUUCCAAUCUACAUUUAAUUUAUUUAUCAUUAUUUUUUGGAUUUAUUGAAUAACUGCCAGUCAUUGGGAUACAAUUGGGAGCAAGAUAAAUUUCUUAUCCUCGUGGAGAUAGGCUUCUGGUGGCAUAGAUGACAGUAAACAAAGACUGCCAAAUGCAGUGAAAUAAAAAAACAAAGCAGGACAAGGGGUAGAGAGUGAUGGCAGUGUUAUUUCAAGACUGAUGAUCAGGGAAGGUGUCUUUGUGGGAGGUAAUAUUGAUGCUUAGGGACCUACAUGAGGUGAUAAAGAGAGCCCUGGGGUUACCCAGAGGAAAAAUAUUCCAGGUAGAAGGAUCAGUAAACGUGUGCAAACAUCCUGAGGCAAAGCAUGUUUGAUAAAUACUCAGAGCACCAAGAAGUCUCUAGAAGAGACCGGAACAGAGGAAAGAAAGGCGAGAGUAUUAGAACAUGGUCAAGAAGGGCUGGCACGGGCCAAACCAUGCGGGUCUUAUACAAUUUUAUACCCAGUGUGAUGAGAAGUGCUGACAUGUUUACUGAGAGGCAUCUUGCCUCAAAGCUCUGAGUUUCAAUGCCCUUGGUAAUUUAAAAACAAAUAAAGAUAA
Zalophus californianus (California sea lion) is the source of this 2127-nucleotide long non-coding RNA. RefSeq lists it as uncharacterized. NCBI's taxonomy places the organism in Eukaryota, Metazoa, Chordata, Mammalia, Carnivora, Otariidae. The transcript has 4 exons. The record is from RefSeq and is a predicted model, not a curated record.